UUCUUAAUAGGCUGUUCACCCCAGAUGCAGGCAUCAGUCUCAGUCAGAACACAGCGUGGACAUGAGGGCCCUCACUCAGCUCCUGGGUCUCCUGCUGCUCUGGAUUCCAAGUACCAGAUGUGACAUCCAGAUGACCCAGUCUCCAUCCACUCUGUCUGCAUCUCCUGGAGACACAGUCACCAUCAAAUGUCAGGCCAGUCAGUAUAUUAGCAAUGAGUUAAGCUGGUACCAACAGAAACCAGGGAAAGCACCUAAACUCCUGAUCUAUGGUGCAAACAGGUUACAAUUUGGAAUCCCCUCUAGAUUUAGUGGCAGUGGACUUGGGACAAAGUUCACUCUUUCCAUCAGCAGCCUGCAGCCUGAAGACAUUGCCACUUAUUACUGUCAACAGGAUUAUGAUAACCCACCCACAGUAAUACAAGCCAUAACAUAAACCUCCAAGAAGCAG
Molecule: non-coding RNA, 448 nt
Organism: Dipodomys ordii (Ord's kangaroo rat)
Lineage: Eukaryota; Metazoa; Chordata; Mammalia; Rodentia; Heteromyidae
Source: the annotation of a RefSeq genome assembly